AGCGGAGCUGUUUAGAGUCUGUAGAAUUAUGCACAUGGAACCCAGAAAUGUCCUGCCAUGGACGGCAGGGCAAGGUGUUAUGCGCCAUGGACGGCGCAUAAAAGCCGGUUUCGUCGAGCAUAGAAAACCAUAUAGGCAUAAUUCGUACAGCCUCUUGACAGCAUAGC
RNAcentral lists this non-coding RNA (167 nucleotides) under Agathobacter rectalis. Lineage: Bacteria; Bacillati; Bacillota; Clostridia; Lachnospirales; Lachnospiraceae. The record is from RNAcentral.